GGGGCAGGGCCGGGGGGGGUGCGGGAAAAUUUUUUUGCUUGGGGAGGCAAAAAACUUGGUGAAAGGAAGCUCACAAAUGUCCCCAGAGGAUGGCAGCACUUUGCAGCAGACAUGAAGGUUGGUGACCAGAACUAGUGUGGUUUGGGAUCCUGGGCAGGAGGAACUGCGGGGCUGCUGGACUACUUGUAGGUGCAAAGCACUGCAUCCUGUUCCUCUGGAGCAGCCUUCCAGAUGGACACACCGACAGGAACCGACCGAGAGCUCCCUGCAGCUGGAGAGGGAGAUGAGUCACUGGAAGGGUGAUAGCUGCAAGGCAGGGAGUCCAAGGUCAUAGAGAGGACCAAAGUCAUGAGCAAGGACUCGGCGCAGCACAGAGCUGUUCAUCGGGAGGCGCUCAACAAAUGAGCAGUUGUCUCAAAUGAUCAGAGAGGCAGCUGGAACUUGCAGGCAUCCUGCAGCGGCAGUAACACUGUGCACGGGCACAUGCAUGGCAAUGCCAGGGCACCUCACCUCCCUGCAGUCCUCCUGGGGGCCUCCCAGCAUUAGAACAGCAGCAAAUGGGCCUCAUUCUGUUGCAAUCUUCUUUGUGUUUCCCUUGUUCCCUGGAGUAUGUGCUGGUGCUGUCUGCACUGGACAGUCAUUCGCAGUGCAGCUUGUCGGCUGGUGUCACUGUGCUGACGUCAGUGACGGGCUGUGCUGAUCUACACAGCUCAGGAGCUGGUCUGUGCUAGUAAUGGGGAACCAAGGAAAAUGGACUGGGAAGGGUCUAGUAGGUGGCAGUGGUUUGUUCUGUACCUGGGGGAUGUUUUUGGUUGAAGCAAGACUGGGUGACCAGAGAAAUCCACAUUGUCCAGAGAUGGCUAAACAGAACUGGAGCUGGUGACCCAUAGCCCUGGCACCUAGCCAAACCAAUAAAUGUGUCUGACGUGCAGGGGCACCCAGCUACCAGGGCAGCAGGCUACUUCCUAGUGUGCUGCCGUCAGAGCAUCCUGUCUAGGGAAAUGUACCCAAAGAUAUUCCAGAAAGGCCCAUGUGUCAUAAACCGCUCGCAUCCUGAGCUUUGCAGCAACACUGGCAGCUAUUAGUAAAUGUCCUUCUAACCCAGAGCGCUAUUUCCUAAUAGCCGUCCUAGGAAAUGAACUGCCCGAUUGAAAGUACCUUUUCUCUUGUAUUGGGUUAUAGAUUUCCCCACUCACUAUAUAAUUAAAAAUAAAUUAAAAGCCUGUCAGCUCAGCUCGGCUUCUGGAGUGUAAUUACUUCCAGGAGUGAUGCAUUUAGCACUGACUUGACAAUUACUUUAUUAUGAAGCACUAAUCAUCCUAAAGGAAGACAAAGGGCUAGAUCUUCAGUAAUGCAAAUAGCUAUAGCUCCAUUGAUUCCAAUAGAAUGUCACGGAUGAGCAUUCUCUGGGGAUCUAGUCUAGAAUUACUUAGUUAAAUAAAUAAAUAACUAUGACUCAUCAUAUUAGAAUAUGCUGAAAACCUCAAGUAAUGGAUUCCUGGUGACACACAGCGGUGUCAUGUUGUACUGAGCAAUAAAUUACUUAGAAUGUUCCAUGUUCUCUCCUGCAGCCGAUAGAAAAGUGAAAGCACUGAUGAGUCACCAGUAUCUUGGGGCAUAAAGCUACUGAGUCCAGCUCACCAUGAUUCACAGGGUGACAGACCUGGAUCCUGAAAUAUCUGAGUGUACCUUGCUCCUGGACAGAACUCAUUGCAAGAUCAGGGUCAUGGUCAUGGUCAGCACUGGGCAUGGUCAUGGGCAG
Molecule: non-coding RNA, 1762 nt
Organism: Chelonoidis abingdonii (Abingdon island giant tortoise)
Lineage: Eukaryota; Metazoa; Chordata; Testudines; Testudinidae
Source: RefSeq, a predicted model, not a curated record